Molecule: non-coding RNA, 6683 nt
Organism: Nothobranchius furzeri (turquoise killifish)
Lineage: Eukaryota; Metazoa; Chordata; Actinopteri; Cyprinodontiformes; Nothobranchiidae
Source: RefSeq, a predicted model, not a curated record
AAAAAAAACUAUUUAAACAAAUGUCAUGGCUAUAAAAUAUUAAAUUUGGAGGUGCUUUGGGUUGCAAAGCUCAUACAUUUAACACAGAUCCGGACAUUUUAGGUCCCCACUAUAACCAUGCCCAUCCCCCACUCUGCUUGCACAUGUGAAAGCAUGCUGUUAGCUAACUGCUGGCUAAUGAAAAGGAGGCGUUGAAUUUAUCCACCCCUUCAGUAUUGGCCAGGCUUCCAUGAACACAUUAAGCUAUAAAACCAUUACAGGAGCAUCUGUCUGUCAACAGUAGUCUCCCUAAUUAGUUUCACCUACAAUAAUGAUUAGGUUUUUUCCUGCACAAUCAAAAAGGUAUGUGAAAAAGAAUUUAAGUGAGACUGCCAUGCUGGUGUGCGCUCGAGUUUAGAUCGAGCGCUCCCUUUCAACAUGAACACCUGCAGAGCGGUAGCAGUGGCAGACCCACACUGUGCCUCAGGAAGAGUAGACAUGCGGCGGAGAACCAAGUAAAAUGGUAAGUUUUACUUAUAUUAAGCUGCUAGUUAAUCAUAUGUUGCCUUAAAACAACUCGUAGUAAGAAUAUUUGUAUUGUGGGUAACUGGCUGUGUUAUUUGUGUGGGUAACUGGCUGUGUUGUCUUACUAAAGUUUUUAAUUCAAUUACUUAGUAUAUCUGAUGUUGUUUAUUAUCUAAAAUGUUGAACUUCAUAAAAAUUAUUCCAUGUUUAAAAAAUACUGUUUUUGCUUAAUUUCCUAAAUGCUGCAUUCACACUGCCCAAAGUGGCAGGAGCAACCAGAUUCUAUGUAAAGUCUGUGAGGUUAAAGUGCAGCUGCGUCUCUGCGGUGCUUUGCCCCAGAUGAAGCAUGCAGUGGUAAUGCAACAUAAUAUGCAGCAAACUGAACUUCUUUUGUGUGGAACACUGAAGUGUUCAAUUUUGAAUAACUAAAACAUGAAAUAGAUAAAAGUUUAAUGUAAAACAUUUCAAACUAAUUGGAAUUAUUUUUUACAUUAUUUAAGUUUUUCACAAUUGUAUUGUCACACAAUUUUUUUGGUUUAUUUCAUAAUAUGUUAUGUGUUAAUUUAAAUUUCAAUACUUUGGUGUUAAUCACUUGUGAAACGUCUACAUAUGUACAUAUCUUGUGUGCUCCAAGCUGAACUCAGGAGUAGGCUUUGAUUAAAUUUUGAUCUGCGUUGGGAGUAAAAAAAUUUUUUUUUCAAAACUGUAUUUAGAACUGCAACACUGGAAAUGAAGCCAUAAAAACAAUUAUUUGAAUUCUUUUUUACAUUAUAACAGAUUACUGAUUGAUAUUUUGUGUAACUGACAGGAGAGUGAGCAGAGUUCCGGAUCUGAUGACGAAUCUAAAUGUGAAGGGAGAGCUGCGGCUCAUGAAGUGCAGCGUGCCUACUUGGAUGAGUCUGUGUCUACCAGGUCAGAUACUGAAGUUUCUCCAAGCAAAAUAUUGAACCCCGGAUGGCCUCCCAACCUACUCCUCACUUGAAGACAGUCAUCACAUUCAGCGUUUGAAGAAACUGACAGCUCAUCAUGGCAAAUGUGAGCGCAGUUUUGAGAAGGCUUAUGCAAUGCAGACAAAGGAGGAGCAGGACAGAACAUUAACGUUGCAUCAUCAACUGAACAUGAAGGGUCAUCAUCUGAAAGUGAAGAUACCAUCACCCUUAAUGAAACUCCACCUGAUGUGAUCCAAGAUGACAGCGUUCCUAUGCUCACAAGAACCCAAAGUGUAAUUGUAAGUUUGUCUUCAAACGUUAAUGUAUAAUCUCAAUUAGGGUUGUCACGGUGUGAAAAUUCAACCUCACGGUUAUUGUGACCAAAAUUAUCACGGUUUUCGGUAUUAUCGCAGUAUUUUUUUAAACAUGUUACAUUUUCAGACAACUAAAUAAACCCUGUAUAUCAGGAAAAUAUUGUCCUCAGUUUGUGUCUAUAUGUUGCCUAAAAUUUGUUAUUUUGUAAUUAUGUUGUUUAUUUGUUUACAUUUUUCCCCUUUAGUCUUUAAAAUACCAAUAGUUGCCCAUAACUUUUUAUUUUUUGUCUGUUGGAUGUCAUCAUUUUAAAAAUAUUAGAUCAGAUGAUACUCAGUACUCAAGUAGCCUUCUAAUCAGAUUCUCCAAUAGCAUAUUUACCUUUAUCUAAUGUAUGAAUUAUUCCAUCGGUUGCUUCCAUUAUUGCAAGUGCUGUUGUCCUCUUUUCUCUGAAUCCGUACUGACUAUGGUCUAGUAUUUCGUGUUUAUUUAAAACAUUUUCUAGUCUGAUAUUAAAUAGUUUUUCCAGGAUUUUUGAAAAUUGAGGAAGAAGUGAUACUGGCCUGUAGUUGUUAAAUAGAUGUUUAUUCCCUUGCUUAAAAAUUGGUAUUACUUUAGCUACUUUCAUUUUCUGAGGAAAUAAACCAGUUUGGAAGGAUAAGUUAAAUAUAAAAGUUAAUGUUUUAGAAUAACAUCAAUAACUCUUUUAAACAACACCAUAUCAAUACCGUCACAAUCAGUGGAGACUUUGUUGUUACAUUUAUCAACAACUGAUUUAACUUCCAACUCAUCCACUGCUGAGAGGAAGAUUGAGUCAGGGUAGUUUUUUUUAAAUUUUUUUUAUCAGUGGUUCACUUAUUGUCUGUCUUUUUUGGCUUGGUAUAUUUGCUGCUAGCUCUGGGCCUACAUUCACAAAAUAUUCAUUCAUUCUAUUAACUACUUUUAUUUUAUCAUAAAUAUCACUUUGAUUAUCAGUAUAGUAUUCAGGGUAUACCAUUUUCUUUUUCCCACCAUUACUUAAUUUGUUUAGUACGGUAUAUCUCAGACACCUUUUAAGUUAUUCUUAUUUUCAUUUAGGAUUUUUCUGUAAUAUAUCUUUAUACUAGUUCUUAUUAUUUCAGUUAAUUUACUUUUGUAAACUUUAUAUCUGAUUUCAGCUUCCUUAGUUCAUAGUUUAAUAAAAUUCCUAUAAAGACUUGUUUUUCUUUUUACAAGCAUUUUGGAAUCCUUUAGUUAGCCAUGGGAGAUUUUUAUACUUAUGACUUCCAUUAAUGACCUUGACUGGACAAUUCUUAUUGUAAAGUGUCUUAAAUAUGUCAAUAAAUUUACUAUAUGCCAUAUCAACGUCAUCUUCCCUAUAGACUACAUCCCAGUCUUGGGACAUCAAUUCCUCUUUAAAUGCAGCAAUUAAAUCGUCUGUUCGUAAUCUCUUAUAUAUCUAUUUCCCUGAUUUUCUUUGACACCUACUUUCUUUAAUUCCAUUGCUGAUGUCAAAAUAUACAUAUAUAGGUCAGUGGUCACUAAUAUAAUUUAUUAGUAUGCCACCUGCAAUAUUUUUUUCAACACAAAUUGUAAAAAUAUUGUCAAUCAAGGUUGCACAUUGUGCCGUAAUUCUUGUUGGUCGUGUGAUCUUCUGGAACAGGGAUAAGCUAUACAUCAUGUCUAAGAAAUCUUCAGUAUGUUUAUGCAGUUUUGACUUCAUGAGAUCAAUGUUAAAGUCCCCACAGAUGAAAAUAUCCUUUUGGCCAAUUUUUGUGUACAUUUUCUCUAUACAGGUUUUAAACUAAUCCAUAUCCGAUCCUAGGGCUCUGUAUAUACAGCUAACUAGUAUAUUGUAAAGGGUUAAUUUACAUUUAUUUAAUGAACCAUAAGACGUGGUUCUAUGGCAAAAAUAGAGUAUCACGAUUUUUCCAAUAUUUUAUCACGAUUUCGAUUUUAUCACGAUUUUUUAUCCAUGGAUAGCAUAACUUCAAUUGCGUAUUAAAGAAGAGAAACAUUGAAUAAAUAAACAUUUAUUCAUAUUAGGGAUAAUCAGCACAGUGCUAACACGCUUAUAUUUUAAACUCACACCAGAGAUGAUAAAAGCCCUGAGAGAAACAAUUACAAAAAUCAGUUUUUCUCGUUUUUCAAGUAACUUAACAUAAAUUAAAAUCGUAAACAUAUUUAAAGUGCAAACAUGUCAAUUGCAAACGUAUUGUGCAAACAUUAACUUGUUAAAAAUACUAUGUAGCUCCCAGUUGCUCAUGUAGUGGAUAGUUAAGCUCAAAUACGGCUCUGAUGUGCGGCUGGACCAGAGAUCGCUUGUGGUAGCAAAAAACUGUGCAUUCUGAAUAUUUUCUGCAACAAGUCUAAGUAAAGUAAAAUUUUCCAGUGCAGAUUGGAGACAACCCAUAGAAGCACUGAUUUGAUCUCAUUUCAGAGAAAAAUAGAACACGUUAGAUGCACCUAAUAAAUAAAAUUACUAACAAACUCAGGAAUGUUUCUUUGCUUCACUGUUCUGGUGCUGAAAAUAUCACUAAUGCGGAUCAAAGGAGAUAUACAGAUGAAUGCACCUCUUAUUAUUUGGAAACUACAUUUACUGCAGCUGGCAGAGGCAGAGAUUGUUUCUAUUGAUACACAGAAUUUACAGAAUCAUUUUAAAUUGUAAUAGGGGAAGACUGCAGGAGGGAGCGGUAAAAUACAGGGGGUCCCCAGCAAAAACAAGAAACUACGAGUCUGAUAAAACCCGCUGGUUUUCCAUCAGGCAGUCACGGGGCAGCUCCAACGACCCAGUGGCCAAGGCGAGCUCAGUCCGGCUCGGCAGAGGGUGAACGAGCCGAGGCGAUGUCGUGCUCUGCUUAAGAAGAAGUGUUAUUUUCCUGCUUCAGAAGAAGCGUCCAACAUGUUUUUACGCUUUCUCCGAGACAUGUCACAUUGCUAAGUUGUUAGCGCCGUGCGCUAAGGAAACCCUGCGUUCCUCUUCGGAACGAAAACCUCGUUGUCGCUCAGCCGCGGCCGAAGCCAUGUUUGUUCACACACAGGUGAAAACAAGCGGGGCACUAAUAUAUUACUAUGACUCACUCUGAUUGGUUAAGGGUCAAACAAAGGCGUGUCAUUCGCCUGAGGUAAGUUCCAUUUUCAUUCAGAGACAGAAAUUCAACAGCAGAGCUGUGAAUCGUGAUAAAAAGGUCUCUCAAAAAUGACAGACCGUCAGAUGUGUAGAUCGUAAAACGGUCUAAAAUCGUCAUAUCGCCCAGCCCUAAUAAGACGUAAGAUUCCAUAGUAAAUAUGAAAUCAAUCUUAUGGAUCUUUGGGUACUUUUAACCAGAAGAUUGGAACUUUUUAUUGCAGGGACUAUGUAACACUUCGUAUUAACUGAGAGACAACAGAAGAGCGAGUCACCUUUAAAAUUUAAGAUUUAUUUCUAAACAAUUUUAAACAAGAUUAACUCUAAAUUCUAAGUGAAUGGAUGGAUCUUAGUGUGAAUAAGACAUGAGAUGAGGGUUAGGGUUAGGCUUAAGAGCUAUUAAAUUCUUUAUGGAGCACACCCUUUAGUUAUUAUCCUGAUGCUUUACCAAGAUGCACCAGCGGUAGACUCCCAGAGAUCGGUGCACAGCCCGGAGGCCGGGCCUGGCCUGGUGGUUGGAGCAGGGCCUAGUCUGGUAGCAGGAGCUGAGCUUGUAGCCGGGCCUGGUCUGGUAGCAGGAGCAGAGCCUGUUGCUGGAGCAGAGCCUGGUCUGGUAGCAGGAGCAGAGCCUGUUGCUGGAGCAGAGUCUGGUGUAGUAGCAGGAGCAGAGCCUGUUCUGGUAGCAGGAGCAGAGCCUGUAGCCGGGCCUGAACUGGUAGCAGGAGCAGAGCCUGUUGCUGGAGCAGAGCCUGGUGUGGUAGCAGGAGCAGAGCCUGUUCUGGUAGCAGGAGCAAAGCCUGUAGCUGGAGCAGAGCAUGGUGUGGUAGCAGGAUCAGAGCCUGUAGCAAAACCACUGAGUGACAAGCUGGAGAGCUAGGGGGAAUGAGUCUCUUGAAUUGUUAAAUUCAUAAUUAUUCUUGGAAAGAGACCAACUCUUAUCUGCCCCUGGGAACCCCGUAAGGCAUAGUGUAAUUUCAACAUGGGGGUGUCCGCGACAUGGUUUAAAUGUAGAUAGCGUGCACUGCGGCUGCUUUAUAUGGUGACGCGUUGCAUUCUCCCUCAACCCAAAUCCUCGGAUCACACAUUUUAGCUACAACGUUAACUUGCCUUGCAUUGAUUGUAGGGUGGUGGGUGAUGGUCACGCAGAUGUGUCAUGAGAUUUGAAGCGUUGCUGCCUUUCACAGACACUUUUUCCUGCACGUGCUGCAAACAGGAUAGCCGUCUUCUAUCAACUGUCCCUCGGCAUUCUUCAAAUAUCCAAAAAAUGCCCAUACUUCCCACUUUGUCUUCUUUGAGGGAUAAUAAAUGUCCUGAGCGCUGCCGUCUCCUCCUUUGGCCAUUAUUUCAGCUUUAGCUUCAAGAAAGUUUUGGUUGUAAAUAACAAAGUGCGCAUGUGCCACUGGCAACUUCAGCAGACGAUACGGUGGCUGGUAAGGGUCACCGCGCCUACACCGCAGCCAUGGUAAUCCACUGAGAUAAUACAUUUUUUUAAAAACAAGACGAUCAUUAUUAUUGUCAACUUUUUUACCAGGGUUUACCGCUACACCGGUUACCGUGACAACCCUAUUCUCAAUCAUUAAGGACAUAAUUAUGAAUUGAAAAGAAAGUAACUGGACUUCUUGUCUUGAAAAUGUUUUGUCUUUCUUCCAAGAGACUUGUUAAGAACUGAAAAGUCCAGCCCCUAUCCUUUUAACUCAGGAUUUGUCUUUUGUCAAACUAGAGCUGGGAGAUAUAAGACUUGUCAUAUCACGAUACAUCUUUUUUCCUUUCAGGUGAUAUAUAUAUAUAUAUAUCACGAUAUAAGUCAAACUACUCUAUAUGUAAAAUUUAAA